GCCCAGGGUUCACAUUUCUGGAUGGAAGGAGUGUCUCUAUCAAGUGCCACAUGUUGUACAACAGUCGUGUUGUAGUUGUGCACACUGCACAGUGGGUCCAUCAGCUUUUGAUGCUGCAAACAACUGACUGUUGUGCCUCGAUUUCACUUCAUAAUGAUUGCAUGAUCCUGAAGCUUCAUGUGUGGCUGCAACAUGGACAAAAACACUAAGAGAGAGACUCAUGAACUCCUCUCGCCCAGCACAUUGUGCCAGAGGCUCAGCCCAGAAUCAGAUGGACAGCUUGUCUUUGCUGCGACAGAAACAGGCGACACUGGAAUUGGGAUCUCGAGGAGACAAAAAGGGAUCAGCAAUUGGACUAAACCCCCCUCCCACCUAUCACCUUAUUAGCCAAGACCAAGAAAACCCUGGAAAAAAAACUCAUAAGGGAAACAAA
This is a long non-coding RNA of Solea senegalensis (Senegalese sole), 433 nucleotides long. RefSeq lists it as uncharacterized. The record is from RefSeq and is a predicted model, not a curated record. The transcript is spliced from 4 exons. NCBI's taxonomy places the organism in Eukaryota, Metazoa, Chordata, Actinopteri, Pleuronectiformes, Soleidae.